CCCCUUCUUCCUGCUCGAGCCUUGUUCCUUCUCUUUCUCCUCCCUCUCGGGUUUUUUCUCUCCCCACUUCGCCCUAUACUACGAAUCGGCAUUUUGGCCUAAGAAACUUUCAUUUGGUCCGUGGAUCUUGAAGAGCAAGGUAUCCUCUUUCCCUCGUAGCUUUUUUUCACAUCGAUUCGCUAUAUAUUAGUUGGAUUUUUGAACUUAAGGUUUCAUGAAACCGUAGGAUGCCGAGGCAUGGAAAAGCUAGGAAACCAAGGUAACCUCAGCGCACAUAGUUAUGUUAUGUGUUCAUUGUUGUGGAUCAAACAGGAAACCCUAAUUGUAGGUUUAUUGUUAAGUGCUUUCGGUUCUUACAACGAAAUAAACUUAAUUGUAGUUAUGGCGCCAAGUUGACCGGAAAUGCCUUCGAC
RNAcentral lists this long non-coding RNA (413 nucleotides) under Setaria italica (foxtail millet). RNAcentral's name for it is "long non-coding RNA (SITA_LNC002484)". The record is from RNAcentral. Lineage: Eukaryota; Viridiplantae; Streptophyta; Magnoliopsida; Poales; Poaceae.